AUACUAAAUCGGCAACACAUAUGCUUAAAUUGGAACGAUACAGAGAAGAUUAGCAUGGCCCCUGCGCAAACACAUCACCAAGAUGUCAGUCCAGAGAGC
This 99-nucleotide small nuclear RNA is filed under the name Pogona vitticeps (central bearded dragon). The record is from RNAcentral. Lineage: Eukaryota; Metazoa; Chordata; Lepidosauria; Squamata; Agamidae.